UCUAAGCCCUUCCCCCUUUUCCUUUCUUUCUAAGUGACAACGGCACCAUCUCCAUCUCUACCUUCCCUCUAGCAAUUACCCCUUCGUCAACCCUCCGGUAACCCCCUUACCAAUCCUCUGGCAAGCCCAACCUCCUCUCUAAGCCCAAUCUCUUUCUAAGUGUCUGGUAAGUUUUCUUUUCUAAGUGUGCUGAGGAGGACCCGUGAGAUCCGGAUCUUGCUGCUAGAUCCUAGUCUUCGCCAACCCAUCCUAAUGCCGGAGCUGCGUUGAACGCCGACAAUCGAUCUCGCUGUAUACCUUCGCUACCAUCGGAAUCGCCAUCUAAAUCGGUGUCUCCAUCCUAAGAGUGACCUGGGGGAUUUAUAUAACUGGGAGCAGUUUGAUCAGUGCCGCAAUUAAAGCCCCAAGGAUCACCUCCAAAAAUCUCAUCAAUUGGGAGAAAGAAAGAAACUUAGUACCAAAGAGCCUGCAUAAGAGGGGCAGGAAGAGGGAUAAAGGAGGAAAGACCAAAGAAGAGUAAAAGGAGAGUUCAUAGAGGUUCCAAAAACCCAAAAUCCACAUAGGAUGAAUGAAGCAAUUGAGGAUGCGAUCACCCAAGAUGCAGAAACAAGGAAAUGUUCAAGAGGUCCAAAGAAAGUAAUGCCUACGCUAAUAAAUCCUAAUAAUUGAGUCCUUUUUACCAUUUUACAUGAUGAGAAAUUCAUUGAACCUCAAGUUGUUAGGACAAUUACAAAAUGCAUACAACUUAACUUCGAUGAUGCAUGGAAUCAUGGGAAAAAAACACCUAAAGGAAUAAUUUGUAUGCCCCAUACAGAAAAAACAAAUGUUGUAUCAAAAAUAUGGGGCACUACAUGCAAAGAGCGAUUUAAAGGAAUGAUGGAAGAAGAAAGGAGUCAAGCAAAGAAGCGUUUUGGUCUGUUGUAAAAGUUAUAAUGAAGGUUGGAUAAGAGUUGAUAUUUGGGAUCGUUUAAUUGACAAUGUUUGGAAUACUGAAACAUGGAAAAAUCAAUCUCAAAAAGCCAAGAAAAAUAGGCACAUAAAAAAAUGGAAGUAUUACCAAACAUACUGGUGGAUCGAUUCCUUUUUUGCUUCAUGUGGAGAGGAUGGCAACACAAUUAAAUCGGAAGCCAACAUAUGUGAAGUGUUUAAUCGCACCCACAAGUAUGAGAAGGGUUAUGCUGAUUAUGUUGAUAACAAGUCUAAAUCCAUGAGUGAAUCUUAUACUAAUUCAAUGAGCCAAAAAUAUGGUGUCGAUGAAUCUUCUCAUCCUGAAUUUGACCCACAAGCUUGGUGUGAAGUAAUUGGAGGAAUGAAGACUACGCGUACACAUGUGUAUGGAUUCGGGAUCACGCACGUGGGGAAAAAAAAAUUAAUUUCUCCUCCCACUAGUAUUGGGAGGCUCCUAUUCAUCGGCUUAUAGUCCACUAGUUGAAGCUCCAUGUUCUUCUACCGGAGUUGAUAAUCUAUGGGAAGAAGUAGCUGCUAUGAAGAAUAAACUACAAAACUUAGAGGAUGUUUAGAAUGAAAUCAAUACAUUUUUGUGUCGCAUUAUUGAGAUGUUAAAUCCUGCAACACUUGCUAGGAAUGCUGGAUUUUCUCAAAUUGGAACGAAUGAUGAAGACCGUGAAGAAGAAACCACCGAUUGUGAACAUUGAAUAUUUGAGAGAGUGAUUCAUAGAACUUGGGUGUUUUAUUGUUAAUUUUAUGUAUGACUUCUCUUAUGAUGUUUUGUUAUUAAGUAUGAAUUUGUUUUCUUAUAUGUUUUUAAAUUUGAUGAAACAUUGAAGGUUUUUGUCUUAAACAAUGUUGGACUUGUUCUUUUUAAUGAA
This is a long non-coding RNA of Dioscorea cayenensis subsp. rotundata (Guinea yam), 1829 nucleotides long. RefSeq lists it as uncharacterized. The transcript has 10 exons. The record is from RefSeq and is a predicted model, not a curated record. Lineage: Eukaryota; Viridiplantae; Streptophyta; Magnoliopsida; Dioscoreales; Dioscoreaceae.